Schistocerca serialis cubense is the source of this 352-nucleotide long non-coding RNA. RefSeq lists it as uncharacterized. The transcript has 2 exons. NCBI's taxonomy places the organism in Eukaryota, Metazoa, Arthropoda, Insecta, Orthoptera, Acrididae. The record is from RefSeq and is a predicted model, not a curated record.
CCAUAGACGAUGCUGUUCCCUGUCAGUAGUGCCACAUGGCUGUAUGGAGCCUGGUCGUCUUGCAGAAGUAGAUUCCCGUGACCACUGCUGCAACAAUCAGGGCGACGGUGGCAGCGCCCUGGUCGUGAAGACUAAGAAAGGUUACAAGCAGAUCGGCGUGGCCAGCUUUGUCUCUGUCAAGGGCUGCGAGGAGACUGGUCAGCCGGCCGGGUACACCAGAGUCACCUCCGUCCUCGACUGGAUCAAGAAAACCGCCGGAUUUUAAUGAGCAACUAUGUGCAGCGAAUUUAAAACUUCCGAUUCUGUUUGUUACAAGUAUGAUGGAUCUUAAACAAAAUUUUAAUAAAUCAGG